RNAcentral lists this ribosomal RNA (217 nucleotides) under uncultured bacterium. RNAcentral's name for it is "partial 16S ribosomal RNA". It matches the Rfam family "Bacterial small subunit ribosomal RNA", at positions 1283 to 1500 of the family's 1533-position model. The record is from RNAcentral.
GGUACUCAGUUCGGAUUGAAGGCUGAAAUUCGCCUUCAUGAAGCUGGAAUUGCUAGUAAUGGCAGGUCAGCAUACUGCCGUGAAUACGUUCCCGGGCCUUGUACACACCGCCCGUCACACCAUGAGAGUUGGAAAUACCCGAAGCCUGUGAGCUAACUUUUAGAGGCAGCAGUCGAAGGUAGAGCCAAUGAUUGGGGUGAAGUCGUAACAAGGUACC